RNAcentral lists this long non-coding RNA (1054 nucleotides) under Xyrichtys novacula (pearly razorfish). Lineage: Eukaryota; Metazoa; Chordata; Actinopteri; Labriformes; Labridae. The record is from RNAcentral.
GCAAAAUAUUUUGUUUUGUUUUUUGUGUUUGUCAAUAUUUUGUGUGAUUGUCAUAUUGGCUGAAAUGACCACACUGAUCAUGAUCCAGUCCUUCCUGAGAGUAUAUUCAGCUCACAGAGGAGGUGUAGUCAGGUAGGCAGGACACCGACACGCACACACACCCACACCCACACCCACAGUCCAUUCAGCUUCAUUGAUCCCCCUUAUAUUCUUCCUACUCACCACCGUCCUCUCUGCCUCAGAUCCACGUCUGUGAUUCAUCAGCAGCGCUCUGACAUUCAGGUUCUCGUCUGUGCGUCGCCCACACUCCCACGCAGCGCCGAUGAGCUUGUAAUGCACAUUCAGGAGCAGAGUGGAGCCCGUCCAGUCAAAAAGAGGUCAUCACUGCGAGGCUGAUUUCACAAACCUGACAAAGGCGUCAAUUCAGACUAUUUCUGUCUCACAAAAGGCCCGAACAAUGGAGAGGCGGCUCCCAGAAUCUGUUAACGGAGAGAGAGAGACAGUUGAAAACGCUGCUGGCAUUUGUACAUCGCUCUCAUACGAAGAAAAAAGAACAAGAUCAGAGGGUGUGAGUGGUUAUUAUCACCACAGAGGAGAGAAGUGAAAAAUUAAACAGAGAGGAGGUUGACUGAGUUCUCCUACCUGUUAGGAUUUUAUCAUAUUUCUCUCUAUGAUAAAAAUAACAUGUGGAUGUUCAGAGCGCCCACACUUUUGCGUGUCUUUGUCAUUUUGCUCGAACUGUUCACAGACUCUUCAGCUCCAAAUCUCCAAAUCCAACCUUCAGAUUUCAUGAGAGACGGAUCAGAGUUUGAGUUCAUGAGUGUUGGAGAGAUAAGAGUCCAGAAACAUGUACGUCAGGUCCACCCUCAUCAGGCUGGAGAGAGAUUUUCUCAAUGAUUAUCAGAUUAUCCCAAAAAUGAUGCUGAGAAACAAGAUACAUCAUGACAGAGUGAAACCAUACGAAGGGAAAUGAUAUGAUUCAGUACUACAUAUGAGAGGACGCUGUGAGGGGGUUAAAACAUUAUGAUAUGAUUCUGUAUAAUUCAGUAUGAUG